AGAGUUUGAUCAUGGCUCAGGGUGAACGCUGGCGGCAUGUCUAAGGCAUGCAAGUCGAAAGCCUAGCUUGCUAGGCUUGGCAGACGGGAGAGUAACACGUUGGUAAUCUGCCUCUAUCUCGGGAAUAACCCGGAGAAAUCUGGAAUAAUACCCGAUAGACAUGGGGGGACAUAUGUCAUUCCCAUGUAAAGAUUUAUCGGAUAGAGAGGAGCCUACGGCCCAUCAGCUAGUUGGUAAGGUAACUGCUUACCAAGGCUACGACGGGUAGCGGGUGUGAGAGCAUGACCCGUCCCACUGGGACUGAGACACUGCCCAGACUCCUACGGGAGGCUGCAGUCAAGAAUCUUCCUCAAUGGACGAAAGUCUGAAGGAGCAAUGCCGCGUGAUCGAUGACGCUUUUCGGAGUGUAAAGAUCUUUUAUCAGGGACGAAUUCGUGACGGUACCUGAUGAAUAAGUCACUGCUAACUUCGUGCCAGCAGCAGCGGUAAUACGAAGGUGGCGAGCGUUACCCGGAUUGAUUGGGCGUAAAGGGUCCGUAGGCGGCCCCAAAAGUUCUUGGUCAAAUCUUGAGGCUUAACUUCAAGACUGCCAAGAAUACUCUGGGGCUAGAGACCGGAAGAGGCAAGCGGAAUUGCCGGUGUAGUAGUAAAAUGCGUUGAUAUCGGCAGGAACACCAAAAGCGAAGGCAGCUUGCUAGGACGGUUCUGACGCUCAGGGACGAAAGCGUGGGUAGCGAAUGGGAUUAGAUACCCCAGUAGUCC
Molecule: ribosomal RNA, 762 nt
Filed under: uncultured bacterium
Lineage: Bacteria
Description: bacterial SSU rRNA
Rfam family: Bacterial small subunit ribosomal RNA
Source: RNAcentral